RNAcentral lists this unclassified non-coding RNA (335 nucleotides) under Athalia rosae (coleseed sawfly). RNAcentral describes it as "misc RNA ENSAEAG00005009183.1". The record is from RNAcentral. Lineage: Eukaryota; Metazoa; Arthropoda; Insecta; Hymenoptera; Athaliidae.
AUUUGUAAAUAUUGUAAGGCGUUAAAAUACACUGGUGAAUCUGCGGGAUUAUGUUGUGCUGGAGGCAAAGUAAAAUUGCCACAAUUGGUCCUACCACCAGAUCCUUUACGCUCUUUAGAGAGGAUGUCUUGAUCCCGCGAAUACCGAUGAUUCCAACAGAUUUACCAUCCGAUUUUAAACGCUUACAAUUUCUAGUACGUCUGGCCUUUGCGAUGACAAUAAAUAAAUCGCAAGGACAGUCUUUAGAAGUUUGCGGAAUCAACUUGGAGUUUCCCUGUUUCGCGCAUGGACAAUUAUACGUCGCGUGUUCGCGCGUCGGAAAACCCUCUUCUUUG